GUCCACGCCGUAACGAUGAUAACUAGCUGUCCGGGCACUUGGUGCUUGGGUGGCGCAGCUAACGCAUUAAGUUAUCCGCCUGGGAGUACGGCCGCAAGGUUAAACUCAAGAAUUGACGGGCCUGCACAAGCGGUGGAGCAUGUGGUUUAAUUCGAAGCAACGCGCAGAACCUUACCAACGUUUGACAUCCCCAGUAUGGAUAUUGGAGACAGUAUCCUUCAGUUCGGCUGGCUGGGUGACAGGUGCUGCAUGGCUGUCGU
RNAcentral lists this ribosomal RNA (260 nucleotides) under uncultured bacterium. RNAcentral's name for it is "partial 16S ribosomal RNA". It matches the Rfam family "Bacterial small subunit ribosomal RNA", at positions 793 to 1055 of the family's 1533-position model. The record is from RNAcentral.